This 167-nucleotide ribosomal RNA is filed under the name Anathallis lobiserrata. RNAcentral's name for it is "5.8S ribosomal RNA". The record is from RNAcentral. Lineage: Eukaryota; Viridiplantae; Streptophyta; Magnoliopsida; Asparagales; Orchidaceae.
AAAACGACUCUCGGCAANUGGAUAUCUCGGCUCUCGNCAUCKAUGAAGAGCGCAGCGAAAUGCGAUACGUGGUGCGAAUUGCAGAAUCCCGCGAACCAUCGAGAAUUUGAACGCAAGUUGCGCCCGAGGCCAGCUGGNCUGAGGGCACGUCCGCCUGGGCGUCAAGC